Anolis sagrei ordinatus is the source of this 393-nucleotide long non-coding RNA. RefSeq lists it as uncharacterized. Lineage: Eukaryota; Metazoa; Chordata; Lepidosauria; Squamata; Anolidae. The record is from RefSeq and is a predicted model, not a curated record.
GAAAUCACUUGACCUAAAAGCAGACGGCGCCCGGAUUGGCUGCGGCGUCCUCUCUCCAAAUAUGAGAUCAACAGACUGGGCCACAGCAACGCGUGGCAGGGGACAGCUAGUUAUAAAAUAAAAUACACAUGACAUGACGAAGCUCAAAUUAGAUCCGAGAAAGUGAUUAGAGAGAGACUGGUAGCAAGAUGCAGGACCUUUCGCCUCGCAAAACAAUACGGUUAUGAAUUGAGGGUCACAGAAACUCCCAAAAGCGCAACAGAUGUUGGACAGAAAACUCAGCUAAACGGUUGUCAACACAACAAAGUUGACUGUCAGUUCAAUGGCUGUAAAUAUGCUCCAUAGUCUGUAAUUUAAUUAUACAAUCUGCAAUGAAAGCUGCUUAUUUUCCAA